Labrus mixtus (cuckoo wrasse) is the source of this 3053-nucleotide long non-coding RNA. RefSeq lists it as uncharacterized. NCBI's taxonomy places the organism in Eukaryota, Metazoa, Chordata, Actinopteri, Labriformes, Labridae. The record is from RefSeq and is a predicted model, not a curated record. The transcript is spliced from 2 exons.
UAAAAAAAACCCAAAAAAAACAAGUAACCCAUCGAAAGAAUAAGACCAAUGAAAAAAAAGAGAACGCAGAACUCUUCCUGCCGGUCGCAGCGCGCGCCCUGUGACAUCGAGCUGCUUUAAAACUGUUUGAUGAGGUCUCUAAAUAUUUCAGGGAAAAAAGGGAAAGUUCCGCACGCUGUUCUGUUCAGAUCCCAAUGAGCGAUAACUUCAUCACGUCAGAAGUUUCAGGACCCUGAAGAGAAAGUGGAGAGAGAGAGCGACCCUGAUCCGGAGGACAGGGUCUCUUUGAGGCUCACGCAGGAGGCCGGCUGCUCUUCUGAUUCAUCCUCAGAAUAAUCAUUUAAAUCACAGCUUCAUUUAAACCGAUUUAAGAAUUAAAUAUCAGAAAUUAACGACUUUAUGAUCAAACAUUUUAUGGAGAGCGGCUCUGAUACUCCGUCGUGGUUUUAUACAUUUAUAUAUUUUUACUUUAUUUUUCAGUGUGUUUCAGGUCGAUGAUUUAACGGCGUGCAGAUGUUGUAAAAUGUACGAGUCAUCAUGAUUAGAGUGGCACCAGAGAGCCUGGUGGUUAUGACUCGCGCCCGUGUACAGCGGCUAAAGUCCUCGUCACAGCAGCCGGGGGUUCAAAUCCGUUCUGUUCGAUCUAAUGAAGGAAAAAAAGCCCAAAAAACAACUUUAAAAAAAAAAGUCAAAUCAAACUGAAGACGGAAAAAUAAUAACGUUUUUAAAAUCAAAGAGCUGCAGAUUGCAGCAACACGAGCAUGAGUGCAACACAUCAAAGGUGAUAAAAACCUGAUCCACCGUGAUCACUGAGGCACCAUGAGGUCAGCGUGGUGAGGUCGACAUCGUGAGGUCAGCAUGCUGUUGGUCAGCGUGGUGAGGUCGGCGUGAUGAGGUCAGCGUGAUGUGGUCGACGUGGUGAGGUCGGCGUGGUGAGGUCGGCGUGGUGAGGUCGGCGUGAUGAGGUCGGUGUGGUUGGUCGGCGUGAUGAGGUCGGCGUGGUGAGGUCAGCGUGAUGAGGUCGGCGUGGUGAGGUCGGCGUGGUUAGGUUGGCGUGGUGAGGUCGGCGUGAUGAGGUCGGCGUGGUUAGGUCGGUGUGGUGAGGUCGGCGUGGUGAGGUCGGCGUGGAGAGGUCGGCGUGAUGAGGUUGGCGUGGUGAGGUCAGCGUGGAGAGGUCGACGUGGUUAGGUCGGUGUGGUGAGGUCAGCGUGGAGAGGUCGAUGUGGUUAGGUCGGUGUGGUGAGGUCAGCGUGGUGAGGUCGGCGUGAUGAGGUCAGCGUGGUGAGGUCAGCGUGGAGAGGUCAGAGUGCUGUUGGUCGGCAUGGGGAAGUCGGCGGGCGUGAUGAGGCGAGCGUGGUGAGGUCAGCGUGGUGAGGUCGGCGUGAUGAGGUCACCAUGUGUCCUCAGCCCUCCUCUCCCUCGGAGCGAUGAUGGAGGAGGAGGAGCCUCAGAGGAAUCUGAGGCAGACAUGUUUACCGUGACGGAGCUUUAAUAAAGAAAGCAGCGAGUGUGAAAUAACACAGUUUGUCUUCCCCCACGCCCCCCCCCCCCCCCCCCCCCCGCCCUCACUGCCGCCUCGUCUUCCUCCCAUCACAGACGCUCACACACAAAUGUUUGUUCUUCCCUAACAAGAUUGUGAAUUAUUAAUCGGAUCUGAAGCCGCUCCUCUAACCCGAUUGUGGAGGUGGGAUUGUUGGCGAGCGAUGCUGCAGCACGCCAUUCACUGUGAUGUAUGUGUCUGCACAUCUUUAGAUCCAAUUUAAUGUGAUUCAGAUAGAUUUCAGAGGGACAUCAUAAAAGGCAUUGCUGUGACCCGCCUGUACACUCCAUACGACCCCCCCCAUCCCCACGCCGCCCUCCCUCUCCCCCCUCCAUCGAACGUCCCGAUAUGUUGAUUCAAUUUGCUCGAUUCGACUCUUACCCCGCGCUGAUCUAUACAAAUGCAAUGCAGGUACACUAAGUAAAUAUGAAUACAUUUCCAAAUUGAAUCGCGGUGAAUGUAGUGCACGGAGGACAUCAUUUAGAGGCCGCUGUGCUGGGAAGAGACCACUCACGGGCUAAAUGACUGAAGCCCCCUCUCAGACGCACCAUUACUGCAGCUAAUGCCUUUAAAGACAUCGUUCUGCCAUCUAUCCUGCACUCUGCAGUAAUGUAUGGAGGCUGGGGAGGGACAAUACAGAGGGGGGGGGAGAGAGAGAGAGAGAGAGAGAGAAAGAGAGAGAGAGAGAGAGGGAUCGAUACGAACCGCCCCGUCCUCAUUCAGACACAUUCCUUUAAAUCCAUACGUUGGCCUGCAGCUCGUCCUACAUGGACUUCAUGUAUUUAUAUAAAUGUAGACGCUUCUUGUUAAUGCUGUUUUAAAUUUCUUCUCUGAAGGAUCAUUUGUCUCGUCAGAUCGGGUUGACACGAAACCAGAAUUUCCGCUGCCCAGUUCUGAUCCCUGUUGGAUACCAGGUAUAAUUCCCUCCAAGCACAGCAGACACAAGUGGCUUUCUUGCUACAGGUUUAUUUGAAGCUUUCCUCAAAUCCUCCAUGAAAACUAAACAGUAUAAAACAUGAAAAUUAUUUAACAAUAUGAGCAAACAUAAAUAAUAACAUACACAGCAUGUGAUGUAAUAUCAAUUAACCAAAAGUAAAAUACGAAUUAAAUCAAUUAAAUUACCUCAUUGGCUACAUGCUAAUAAGAGAGAAUUAAAGUUGAAUUUAAUGAGAGCCAGAGUCCAUGCUUGCUGUACCGUUGUAAAUCUAAUUCUAAUGAGAGCAGUCCAAUGUGACCUUAAAGGUAACUUCAAAAUAAAACGUCACUUGUAUUUAAUAAAAUGAUUAACUUAAAUGUAUAAAUUAUUAUUAUUAUUAUUAUUAUUAAUAAAUCUUGUACCAAAACUAAACUUAAAUACAACCUAAUUCUUAAAUUCUACCUGAAAAAGGUAAACAAUAAUUGCAACAGUUACACCCCGACUGCAAAAUCAGAAGUCCCAGUCACAAAGUUUUGAUAAUUUCUUCUUUUAAUCUUUAAAAUCGUAUUAUCAUAUAAUUAAAAAUAUUUGUUGUAA